AGAGUUGAUCCUGGCUCAGGAUGAACGCUAGCGACAGGCUUAACACAUGCAAGUCGAGGGGCAGCAUAAAAGUAGCAAUACUUGGUGGCGACCGGCGCACGGGUGAGUAACGCGUAUGCAACCUACCUAUCAGAGGGGAAUAACCCGGCGAAAGUCGGACUAAUACCGCAUAAAACAGGGGCACCGCAUGGUGAUAUUUGUUAAAGAAAUUCGCUGAUAGAUGGGCAUGCGUUCCAUUAGGUAGUUGGUGAGGUAACGGCUCACCAAGCCGACGAUGGAUAGGGGAACUGAGAGGUUGGUCCCCCACACUGGUACUGAGACACGGACCAGACUCCUACGGGAGGCAGCAGUGAGGAAUAUUGGUCAAUGGGCGAGAGCCUGAACCAGCCAAGUCGCGUGAAGGAAGAAGGAUCUAUGGUUCGUAAACUUCUUUUGCAGGGGAAUAAAGUGCAGGACGUGUCCUGUUUUGUAUGUACCCUGAGAAUAAGGAUCGGCUAACUCCGUGCCAGCCGCAGC
This 516-nucleotide ribosomal RNA is filed under the name uncultured bacterium. RNAcentral's name for it is "bacterial SSU rRNA". It matches the Rfam family "Bacterial small subunit ribosomal RNA", at positions 8 to 518 of the family's 1533-position model. The record is from RNAcentral.